This 346-nucleotide unclassified non-coding RNA is filed under the name soil metagenome. RNAcentral describes it as "partial contains 5.8S ribosomal RNA, internal transcribed spacer 2, and large subunit ribosomal RNA". The stretch from base 1 to 120 matches the Rfam family "5.8S ribosomal RNA", at positions 35 to 154 of the family's 154-position model. The record is from RNAcentral.
GAUGAAGAACAUAGCGAAAUGCGAUACGUAAUGUGAAUUGCAGAAUUCAGUGAAUCAUCGAGUCUUUGAACGCACAUUGCGCCCCCUGGUAUUCCGGGGGGCAUGCCUGUCCGAGCGUCAUUGCUGCCCUCAAGCCCGGCUUGUGUGUUGGGUCUCGUCCCCCUUCCCGGGGGGACGGGCCCGAAAGGCAGCGGCGGCACCGUGUCCGGUCCUCGAGCGUAUGGGGCUUUGUCACCCGCUCUGUAGGCCCGGCCGGCGCUUGCCGAUCAACCAAAACUUUUUUCCAGGUUGACCUCGGAUCAGGUAGGGAUACCCGCUGAACUUAAGCAUAUCAAUAAGCGGAGGA